GGUAUGGGAUGGAUCCGCGUCUGAUUAGCCAGUUGGCGGGGUAGAGGCCCACCAAAGCGACGAUCAGUAGCCGGCCUGAGAGGGUGACCGGCCACAUUGGGACUGAGACACGGCCCAAACUCCUACGGGAGGCAGCAGUGGGGAAUAUUGCACAAUGGGGGAAACCCUGAUGCAGCGACGCCGCGUGACUGAAGAAGUAUUUCGGUAUGUAAAGGUCUAUCAGCAAGGAAGAAGAAAGACGGUACUUGACUAAGAAGCCCCGGCUAACUAC
Molecule: ribosomal RNA, 271 nt
Filed under: uncultured bacterium
Lineage: Bacteria
Description: partial 16S ribosomal RNA
Rfam family: Bacterial small subunit ribosomal RNA
Source: RNAcentral